This 68-nucleotide transfer RNA is filed under the name Batocnema coquerelii. Its description in RNAcentral is "tRNA-Leu". The record is from RNAcentral. Lineage: Eukaryota; Metazoa; Arthropoda; Insecta; Lepidoptera; Sphingidae.
ACUAUUUUGACAGAAAAAAUGUGAUGAUUUUAGAAGUCAUUAAUAUAUAAUUUAUUAUAUAUAUAGUA